RNAcentral lists this small nucleolar RNA (56 nucleotides) under Mus musculus (house mouse). RNAcentral describes it as "partial Z18 small nucleolar RNA". It matches the Rfam family "Small nucleolar RNA SNORD74", at positions 22 to 75 of the family's 80-position model. From Rfam's summary of the family: Z18 also identified as U74 (SNORD74) belongs to the C/D class of snoRNA which contain the C (UGAUGA) and D (CUGA) box motifs. Most of the members of the box C/D family function in directing site-specific 2'-O-methylation of substrate RNAs. U74 is predicted to guide the 2'O-ribose methylation of 28S rRNA residue C3820. The record is from RNAcentral. Lineage: Eukaryota; Metazoa; Chordata; Mammalia; Rodentia; Muridae.
GCUAUGUUGGUAGGGACAACUGAGCUUGUUGAUGAAUACCAACGAUUCUGAUGGCA